This 77-nucleotide antisense RNA is filed under the name Corynebacterium jeikeium K411. RNAcentral's name for it is "ctRNA". It matches the Rfam family "ctRNA". Rfam says of the family: Rolling circle replication plasmids contain a number of mechanisms to maintain a low copy number. One of these methods is to transcribe a small RNA called ctRNA (for counter-transcribed RNA) than is transcribed on the opposite strand to RepB the replication initiation protein. ctRNA binds to the mRNA of repB and causes translational inhibition. Lineage: Bacteria; Bacillati; Actinomycetota; Actinomycetes; Mycobacteriales; Corynebacteriaceae. The record is from Rfam by way of RNAcentral.
GCUUUCUCCCAGGUGGGACUGGGGGUAAAGCGAGCGUCGAACUGGUAGCCGCCGGUUCGGCGCUCAUUUUUUCGUUU